RNAcentral lists this ribosomal RNA (499 nucleotides) under uncultured bacterium. Its description in RNAcentral is "partial 16S ribosomal RNA". It matches the Rfam family "Bacterial small subunit ribosomal RNA", at positions 28 to 507 of the family's 1533-position model. The record is from RNAcentral.
GAUGAACGCUGGCGGCGUGCCUAAUACAUGCAAGUCGAGCGAACAGACGAGAGUGCUUGCACUCUCUGACGUUAGCGGCGGACGGGUGAGUAACACGUGGGUAACCUACCUAUAAGACUGGGAUAACUUCGGGAAACCGGAGCUAAUACCGGAUAAUAUUUAGCUUCGCAUGAAGCAAUAGUGAAAGACGGUUCUGCUGUCACUUAUGGAUGGACCCGCGGUGUAUUAGCUAGUUGGUGAGGUAACGGCUCACCAAGGCAACGAUACAUAGCCGACCUGAGAGGGUGAUCGGCCACACUGGGACUGAGACACGGCCCAGACUCCUACGGGAGGCAGCAGUAGGGAAUCUUCCGCAAUGGACGAAAGUCUGACGGAGCAAUGCCGCGUGAGUGAAGAAGGUUUUCGGAUCGUAAAACUCUGUUGUAAGGGAAGAACAAGUACGCUAGUAACUGAACGUACCUUGACGGUACCUUACCAGAAAGCCACGGCUAACUACGUG